RNA transcript from Dendrobium catenatum, 1712 nucleotides. RefSeq lists it as uncharacterized. The record is from RefSeq and is a predicted model, not a curated record. The transcript is spliced from 4 exons. NCBI's taxonomy places the organism in Eukaryota, Viridiplantae, Streptophyta, Magnoliopsida, Asparagales, Orchidaceae.
GAAAUUUGGAACCCCAGUCUCAGUCGCUCGGCAAGGCUCCGUCUUAGCCUCAGACGGACGUUCAGGAAGCUGGGUGAAAUGAAUAAGAGGAAUGAUGCCUUACGUUCUCGCUCGCUGGCAAGGCUCCGUCUGAGCCUAAGAUGAACAUUUAGGAAGCUCGAUGGCUGAUGUCGCAGUUGAUGAAUCGUCUCCACCUUCCGACUUGGUUCUGGACGGAGCGGAUGGAUCCAUCCGAUCGAAUGGAAUGCUGGGUCGGGCCGUUUCCUCAUGCGGCAUGGAGGAGAAUUCCUCCGUCUAAGAUAUGGACAUCACUAGCUCUUCUCCAUCGGAUAUGGAUUUGACCAAUUGUGAGGUUCCGAAUGAAUCCUGCCCCAACGUCUUCGUUCCAGACGUUAACAUGAAUCGCGAAACGGCCAUUCACAAACAACCGGUUGCCUCCCAGGUGUUCAGAAAUUCCAACUGCAGCCUCUACCAAGCCUCCACCUACAGGUUUCUGCACUCCAGGUGCUUGUGGAAAUUCCUCAAAGAUGCAUAAAUCAGAUUUAUCUCAAUUUGAGCUUCAAAACCAAAGGUCCGGCUGUCGUAUUCCACCCACAAACUCCAACGAAGGGCCUAAUGAUUGGAAAGAAAGAAUCGUGAAAGCGGGCUGCGAAGUGAGAACUGGCUGGAUGGGAAAACAUAUUUAGGAUUGAUUAAAUUACGGAAAAAAGAUUUUUGGAGGGGGGACAAAAUACAAAAAAUAUUCCCAAAAUAUCAAAAAUAUUCCCUCAAACACUUUUUUUUUAGUGUGGGCAAUUUUUUUUUUUUUUUUAGUAGCCCACCCUGGCUUCAACUUGGAUCCGCCACUAACUCAAUCAAUAGUUAUCAUAGCAUGGUUGACACUGCUUUUCCCAAAAAAAUUUAAGUUAUUUUUAAAAGGCAGCAAAAAAUAGAAGUCAAAUAAAAUUAUGAUUGCGGCCACAUAAAGAAAAGUAGAAAGAAAGAUGUCUCAAACAGAGCUUAAGAAUAAUUAAGAAUCUAGAUGACUCUGGUUCAAGUUUUUCUUUUUAGCUUAAGAAGAACUAUUUUUUUAAGCUCCUAGCUUAGCAUUGCUGUCUUGUUAUGUGCUAUUGAGUAAAUUAGAUAAUUGUUGAAUAAAAUAUGUUUAUGCGCUACAGAGAUUUGAGGAAGCUAAAGAAGAAUAAACAGUUGGUGUAUUUUCAGUUCUUGAAGGAGCUGAGGUUAUAUUCACAGGAUAAAGGCUGACAUUAGAUGGAUCUGUUUUUUCGCUGAAAAAGAAAUGAUACUAUUUCAAGCAAAGAAAAUUUGAAAUUAUACAAUCAGAGAGUUCAAAUUUGAAGCACCAAUCAGUAUAGAGGAAGGCUAAAUGCUCGCCACAACCAUCACGGCUGGCUCCAAAAUGCGUCAUCAACCAUCAUCUGUAAGUCAAAAUACUCUUCAACCUGAAAACAAUCUCCUCCGCAGUCUCCAUCAAGCCCAGCUAUCGUCUCCUCUACUCCGCCACCAACGCAAUUGAAAGCACCGCCAACAUCUGCCGGCAACUCGAGUUCUUCAUCAUGUUUCGAUCCGAUUUCUCCGCCGCCGAGCAUUUCCCACAUCCUUCUUCGCCUCCGACUACGGGCAACACCGAGGCCGAUGUAUUAUUUACAGCACCAAAGCGGUGAAAUGCCGACGACGCGAAGGUUGCUGCCAGCACAAUCACCGUUCCAGCA